RNAcentral lists this long non-coding RNA (1119 nucleotides) under Capsella grandiflora. RNAcentral describes it as "long non-coding RNA (CGRA_LNC000920)". The record is from RNAcentral. Lineage: Eukaryota; Viridiplantae; Streptophyta; Magnoliopsida; Brassicales; Brassicaceae.
AAUGGAUCAGAGCUAACCCAAGAAAGAACAAACCAGAGUGAUCAUCAUCAGGUCAAGGAGAUUACAAUCAAAGUGGGAUUUACCAAAAGAGAUUUUAAACAAGUGGGGAACAAGAGAGAUAUGUGCUUGUGCUUAAUUGAGUUACAUCUUCCUAAUUUCGAAAAAAAGGGAUAGAGGAAUCAAUAAAAUGCUGGACCCUAGGAAUGGACUACGUUUCGACAUCGGAUUUGUCACUCACAACUAGGACACACAACACAGUUCCUCUUCCAUUCUCUUGUUUAUCCACUUUUAUAAAAAGAUUACCUUCUUUUUUUUUCUCUUUCUCUCCUGUGGCAUUAUUGAGUGGAGAGAGAGAGUACUUAACUGAUGACACUAGACAUCAGGGAGCAGAUAUGAUCUCCAAUAGAUCUUUGUUUCUUGAUUCCCCUAGAAAAAGACAUGACUUUAUCACUAAUAACGCCAAAAGCAUGUCCCUCACUGUUUAGGAUAUUAGAAUAGUGACCCAGUCGUUUGUGCACAUUACAGAAUAUGAUAUAGACAGGAUCAUAAAAGUUAACAAGGAAAGAUCUUUAGUUACCAAGAAUCUCUGUAAAUAUAUAUAUGUAGCCGAGAAAACAGAAACCUAGGGAUGAUUUCGUUUAUAGCUGUGUCAAUCAACCUAUGAACAAACCAAUAGACUACUACUACUACUAACAAAUACAUGUAUUAGGUCAUGUUCAGCAAACCAAAUCAUAUUGAAUAUAUUGGAAUAGAAGAGUUCUAGUUUCUUCCCUACCAUUUUCUUUCUUUCUUUCCAGAUUCUUAACAAAAUAUCAAAGAAAAUUUAUAUUGGGGUGUGUGUGUAUAGUGGAAGUCUUACUUGUACAGCAAAUGGACUGGUCUUUUAACGGCCAUUGGGAGAUAGUCUCUAUCAUUGAAACUUUUCAGCUAAAGGAGCCUGCAACAAAUACAUAGACUGCAAAAAAAACAAGUACAGCUUGCCUGCAACUGAAUAUUCACUUGGUCGCUUCCGAGCAAAAAGACACCAACUAAGAGUAAAGGAAUAGAUAACAAUUGAAUUCAGGAAUCCAAUAACGAGCAGCAUAAGAGACAUCUGUUCUCAUGAUAUAUGUACAUGAC